Molecule: long non-coding RNA, 1965 nt
Filed under: Gouania willdenowi (blunt-snouted clingfish)
Lineage: Eukaryota; Metazoa; Chordata; Actinopteri; Blenniiformes; Gobiesocidae
Description: lncRNA (ENSGWIG00000017654.1)
Source: RNAcentral
UGCGGAGAAUCGUCGGUUGUAUCUGGCAACCAGCUAGAGUCAGGAACAAAGCAGUGAAAUGGAGGACGGACAGAGCUGGAUGAUGACUACCGUUAAACUAGAAGAAGAAGAGAAAGAAGAAAUAUUGUGGAGGGAAGUGAAGCUGAGUGAGACGGACAGUGAUGAUGAUGAUGAUGAUGAUGAUGAUGAUGAUGAUGAUGAUGAAGGCUGCAGGAGGAAAGCUGUGCUGGAGGAGCUUCGUCAUCCCGACCAUGUGUGGGACGGAAUGUUUGCUCCAAAGAUGGAGAAAAGCGGAGAAGAAGAAACGGAGGAGUUUUCAGAUGUGUGCUCUGUGAAGGAAGAGUGUGUAAGUUCUUGACGGUGGAGCUGCAGGAGGCGCUGGAGAGGACAGGUCGGUCCAAGGAGGUGCUGGAGUUGGGGGAGGUGCUGGACACGGGCAAGAGUAGACGCAAUAUUAAAUAGUACACGUUGUAAGAACAACACACUCAUCAACCAUAAUUAUCCUUAAAUAGCUUUAGAAUGCUUAGGAUUUUAAAGCAUUGCAUCGUGGGUAGUUGAUGAUCUGUGUGUUGAUGUUUAGGGAGACCCGUUUGACUGAGGCCGUGGACAACAUCUGUGAACGCAUCCUGCAGUACAGCGUUCACGCAUAGAGGCCUGGAAGUCUACGCUACGCCAAGGUCAGUCCACCGCCUCAUUGUUACCUUUAAACAAUCCUCCACUGGUUUUACAAGUUUGGCCUAAAACCUUUGAAAUGUAAUUAUUAGAAGAUCUAUGCCUAACCAAACCAUAUUUGUUUAAUUAUUGUUUUUUUUAUUUGGCUUUCAUAAAUAAUGAUGCAUAUUUACAGAUAUUGUACAUGAUAUGAGUGAUAACACGUGUUAUAAAGGCUAUUUUACACAAUAGGUGUGGCUACAGAUUUAUACUUGUUCGUUGGUGUACCAUGGGCACUAAAAGUCUGGGAACCACUGAUCUACACAACUAAAAAAUACAAACAUGUAGAGGCAGCUCAGUGGGAGCACUAAACAGAAACUAAAACAGAAACAUAUAAAGAAGCAUAAACUGAAUAUAGGUCAUUUUUUCACUCCAGUGUAUUUUGCCAGAUCAGCAUUUCUUUGAGAGAAAUUGUCAGGUUUCCAGAUGUUUAUGUUUUGCCAGAUUAAACUGAUGCUGAUGUGUUUUAUUUUCAUAGCAUCAUAUGUGAGUGAGGGGCUUUGAUAAGAUGACAUAGUGGUACAUUUGUAUUUCUAUGAGCAUUUGCACAUCUGUACGUCAUAAUGCACAUGAUGACAGUUAGACAUUGGUGCAGUGAGUAAAUGUAUGUAUAUUACUGGAAUUUAUUUAUUCUUUGCCAUAUUAUAGUAAUCCUGGGGUCGUGAUGAUGGGGCCCUUGAAUAUUGUUGCCCAGGGUACAGCGGUGUUAAUCUGGCCCUGCCGUGAGGGAAAGGAUGUUUAUUUAUGUGGAAAUGUUCUUCUCACUCUCAUCCUUGUCUGUUUCAAACACCGUCUAACCUGGUAAAAAACUACACAAAUCAUCACUGACUCCUAAAUCAGAGACACCAGUGCCUGUUUAACUUUAAUGUGUCUAUAAAGCUCCGUUUGUUUGUAGCGCUGCUGUGCUCUGUGAAAACAUGACUCAGCUUUAAUCAGCUUCACCUGCUCAGUGUUUAAACAUCUCAUCAGAGCUACAGAACAUCUGGAUAAAGUUGUUCUGUUGUUGUGGACGAGAUCAUCAAUACCAGUGAUUGUAGAGUCUGAAACAUCACAGAUUAUUGAUAACUUCUGAUACUGUAAAAUAUUCUGACCUCUAGUGGUGAAAAAACACUUCUUACACGUGAUGUGUUGCACAUUUAUUUUUGUUUAAUCAUUACGUUCUGGAAUGAUGUCAUCAGGAUCAUUUAAAUUAGGUUAAUUUAAAUUAAUUUGAUCAAAAUUUAAUCAAUAAACCUGAUCAGAUUCAGUAAAUCA